ACAGCAUCAUAGACACCGCCAAGCAACAGGAGAACACUCUUAAUGAGAGAGUGGCCAGGAUAGAGAAAGAGAAGAGGUUGGUGGAGGAGUCGUUAGCGGAGGUGAGAGAGGAGGAGGAGGAGAUGUCACGAGCCAACCGAGCACUCACCACACGACUUGAGGACGUACAGAGGAACCUGAGUCGUGUGUG
Molecule: long non-coding RNA, 190 nt
Organism: Engraulis encrasicolus (European anchovy)
Lineage: Eukaryota; Metazoa; Chordata; Actinopteri; Clupeiformes; Engraulidae
Exons: 3
Source: RefSeq, a predicted model, not a curated record